Long non-coding RNA from Trichosurus vulpecula (common brushtail), 1443 nucleotides. RefSeq lists it as uncharacterized. The record is from RefSeq and is a predicted model, not a curated record. Lineage: Eukaryota; Metazoa; Chordata; Mammalia; Diprotodontia; Phalangeridae. The transcript is spliced from 4 exons.
AAGCCAUAGUGAAGAGAUGACCAAAGGAUGAGCAGUGGAGGAGAUGCUCUUUCCCUAAGUCUGGCUAAUUAAGAUCAUAGCAAGGAGAUGAUGGCCAGAAGAGGAACCCUCUCUUUCAUUCUCUUUAUGUCUCUGUCUGUCCUUCUGUCUGUCUGUCUGUCUGUCUUGCUCUCUAGCUCCCUCUCUCCCCUUCUCUCUCCUUCUCCCUCCCUGUCUCUAGCAAAGAUAUGACCAGCAUGUGAGUAAGGGGAAGGGGAGCAAGUGAAAGAGUCUCUUCUUUUCCACAUCAGACCAUAGGACAACAGGAGGAGAAAAUGGACUGGAAGGAGAGUCUCUCUCUCUUCCUUUUCCUCUUCCCCUUAUCCCUCAGACCCAGAUAGCCAGACACUGAGAAGAGUAGCAGGAAAAAGAGACGACCUGAGUAAGAACACUAGAGAAGAUUUUCUUUUCCUGAGUCCAGCCAAUAAGACCAAAGCAAUGAGAUGAUGGCCAGAAGAAGAUUCAUUCUCCUUUCCUCCCCCACUUCCUGUUCCCCACCCCUACCAGGAACAGCUGGUGGAAGUUUCACUGACAUGAGAUUACCUGGAAAAAGUUACUACAAAGUGAUGACCAAAGUGUGAGAAAGAAAGAAGAAUUUUUUCUCUGAUCCCAGUUAGGUCAGUAGGACCACAGCAAGGAUGUAAUGGAGUUGAAAAGAAAGAUGCUCCUUCUCCCUCUUCCCCUAUAUCCGUCUUCCUCUAUGCAACCACCAAAGGGUCCAGUUUGCAGAAGCCUAACUGUGAAGAAUACAGCAGAAGGAAGAAAAUGCAGCAAAGACGUGACCAAGAUGUAAGCAAGAAGGAAGAGCCUUUUGCUUUUCCAGGUUUGGGCCAACAAGACUCAAGCAAGAAAAGGACCCCUGGAAGACAAAGAUUCUCUCUCUCUUACUCUCCCUGUCCAUCAACCCAGCCAGCAGGAAUGUAGGACAGUGGUGUCCGAAUCAGAGUGAAAGAUUCAGAGAGAGAGUGAGAGAGAAUGAAUAUGAAUCAGAAGAUGCUCUGGGCCUGUCCAACAGGACAGGGGUGGAUGGAUCCCUUCUUCAUAUCCCCAAUCCUAUACAUCUGAGAAAAGGACAAGACUGGAAUGAGACCAUCUCUAUCUCCCAGUCCCAGGAAGGAAGGCUACAGCUUCAAGAAGACAUCCAGAAGGGAGAAAGAGAGGACCUUACAUCUCUUCUUCCUCUCAUUCCAGCAAGGACAUGACAAGCUUGUGAGAAGGGGAAGGGCAGCUGGGGAUUCUGUCUUUUUAGGGUAAGACCCAUAAGGAAACACCAAGGAGAAGAUGGGUUGGAGGAGGAAGAUUCCCUCUCUCUCUCUUGGUUUUCCUCUUCCCCCCUUUCCACAGCCCCAGCUAUAGCAGAAGCCAGACUCUGAGGAGAGUACCAGAAAAGAGGUAUGGGGAAAU